CUAUGCGCCUUGCCAGCCCGCUCAGGUGUGCCAGCAGCCGCGGUAAUACGGAGGAUGCGAGCGUUAUCCGGAUUUAUUGGGUUUAAAGGGUGCGUAGGCGGAAUAUCAAGUCAGCGGUAAAAAUUCGGGGCUCAACCCCGUCGUGCCGUUGAAACUGAUGUUCUUGAGUGGGCGAGAAGUAUGCGGAAUGCGUGGUGUAGCGGUGAAAUGCAUAGAUAUCACGCAGAGCUCCGAUUGCGAAGGCAGCAUACCGGCGCCCAACUGACGCUGAAGCACGAAAGCGUGGGUAUCGAACAGG
RNAcentral lists this ribosomal RNA (298 nucleotides) under uncultured bacterium. RNAcentral describes it as "partial 16S ribosomal RNA". It matches the Rfam family "Bacterial small subunit ribosomal RNA", at positions 475 to 776 of the family's 1533-position model. The record is from RNAcentral.